RNAcentral lists this ribosomal RNA (440 nucleotides) under uncultured bacterium. Its description in RNAcentral is "partial 16S ribosomal RNA". It matches the Rfam family "Bacterial small subunit ribosomal RNA", at positions 338 to 795 of the family's 1533-position model. The record is from RNAcentral.
CCUACGGGUGGCAGCAGUGGGGGAUAUUGCACAAUGGGGGAAACCCUGAUGCAGCGACGCCGCGUGUAGGAAGACGGUCCUCUGGAUUGUAAACUACUGUCCCCAGGGACGAAGAUGACGGUACCUGGGGAGGAAGCUCCGGCAAACUACGUGCCAGCAGCCGCGGUAAUACGUAGGGAGCGAGGGUUGUCCGGAAUUACUGGGUGUAAGGGGAGCGUAGGCGGGUAUGCAAGUUGGGGGUUAAAUCUACCGGCUCAACUGGGAGUCGCACUCAAAACUGCAGCUCUUGAGUGGAGUAGAGGCAGGCGGAAUUCCUAGUGUAGCGGUGAAAUGCGUAGAUAUUAGGAGGAACACCAGUGGCGAAGGCGGCCUGCUGGGCUUUUACUGACGCUGAGGCUCGAAAGUGUGGGGAGCAAACAGGAUUAGAUACCCGUGUAGUC